CGCUUCUCUGCCGGCCCCGCCCCCGCGUCUCCAAGGCCGCGGCCCGGCGGCGCUUUCGCUUCCGCCUCGGGAGGUGGCUCCCCGCGCGCUCCGCCAUGCCCCCGGGCCGGCCCGCGAUGGGGCGGGGCGUGGAGGGGCGGGCCCGUGGGCGGGGCCCGGCGCGCCACCAGGGCAGUGGGGGGUCUGGCCCCUCCUGGGAGGGUCGGGCGUUGUGGGACCGCGCGCGCUCAGGCGGCCGCCCUAGUCUCCUGUCCCCUCACCUGUCCCCUUAGCUGUCCCAUCUCCUGUUCCCUCUCCUGUCGUUCACCUGUCCUAUCUCCUGUCCUCCUGUGCCCUCAGCUGUCCCCUCAGCCCCCCUCAGUUCCCCCAGAGGCCCUUAGCCUCGGAACGGGCGCGUGGCUGUGCCCUGCGGCUGCAGGAGGCCGAGGGGACGAGGCGCAGCUGUUCCUGAGGCGAGUGGGUGACCGCAGAGCGGGAGCGCUGUCCCGCCUGGCAGCCUGGACGCCGGCCCUCCUCCUGGACGAACUAGUGGGACAGAAUCAUUGAAUGCGUAAGCUGAAAGGACUCUGGACCAGUCCUCUAAUGGAACAGAUGAAGAGAACUCACCCAGAGACCAAGGACCUGGCCAGCACUCCUAUCCCAGGGCUUUAUCACCACCACACAUGGUCUCGGGGACCACGUUCAUUGAAUGCCUACCACUUGGUCUGUAUCAUAUUUGAUUUUACAGAGAAAUAACAGUCACCUUUUCCUCCCUAUUGCAGAA
Balaenoptera ricei (Rice's whale) is the source of this 763-nucleotide long non-coding RNA. RefSeq lists it as uncharacterized. Lineage: Eukaryota; Metazoa; Chordata; Mammalia; Artiodactyla; Balaenopteridae. The transcript is spliced from 2 exons. The record is from RefSeq and is a predicted model, not a curated record.